CCUACGGUAGGCAGCAGUGAGGAAUAUUGGUCAAUGGGCGGGAGCCUGAACCAGCCAAGCCGCGUGAAGGAAGAAGGCGCCAGGCGUCGUAAACUUCUUUUGUCGGGGAACAAAGGGCGCCACGCGUGGCGUUGUGAGUGUACCCGAAGAAAAAGCAUCGGCUAACUCCGUGCCAGCAGCCGCGGUAAUACGGAGGAUGCGAGCGUUAUCCGGAUUUAUUGGGUUUAAAGGGUGCGUAGGCGGUCCGGAAAGUCAGUUGUGAAAGUUUGCGUCUCAACCGUAAAAUUGCAGUUGAAACUGGCAGUCUUGAGUACAGUAGAGGUGGGCGGAAUUCGUGGUGUAGCGGUGAAAUGCUUAGAUAUCACGAAGAACUCCGAUUGCGAAGGCAGCUCACUGGACUGCAACUGACACUGAGGCUCGAAAGUGUGGGUAUCAAACAGGAUUAGAUACCCUUGUAGUC
This 460-nucleotide ribosomal RNA is filed under the name uncultured bacterium. RNAcentral describes it as "partial 16S ribosomal RNA". It matches the Rfam family "Bacterial small subunit ribosomal RNA", at positions 338 to 795 of the family's 1533-position model. The record is from RNAcentral.